UACGAAGGGGGCUAGCGUUGCUCGGAAUCACUGGGCGUAAAGGGCGCGUAGGCGGAUCUUUAAGUCGGGGGUGAAAGCCUGUGGCUCAACCACAGAAUUGCCUUCGAUACUGGGGAUCUCGAGACCGGAAGAGGUGAGUGGAACUGCGAGUGUAGAGGUGAAAUUCGUAGAUAUUCGCAAGAACACCAGUGGCGAAGGCGGCUCACUGGCCCGGUACUGACGCUGAGGUGCGAAAGCGUGGGGAGCAAACAGG
This 253-nucleotide ribosomal RNA is filed under the name uncultured bacterium. Its description in RNAcentral is "partial 16S ribosomal RNA". It matches the Rfam family "Bacterial small subunit ribosomal RNA", at positions 524 to 776 of the family's 1533-position model. The record is from RNAcentral.